UACGGAGGGUGCGAGCGUUGUCCGGAAUCAUUGGGCGUAAAGGGCGCGUAGGUGGCCCCUCAAGCGUGCGGUGAAAGUCAGGGGCUCAACCCCUGAUCGGCCGUGCGAACUGGGGAGCUUGAGCACUGUAGAGGCAGGCGGAAUUCCGGGUGUAGCGGUGGAAUGCGUAGAGAUCCGGAAGAACACCGGUGGCGAAGGCGGCCUGCUGGGCUAUGGCUGACACUGAGGCGCGACAGCGUGGGGAGCAAACAGG
Molecule: ribosomal RNA, 253 nt
Filed under: uncultured bacterium
Lineage: Bacteria
Description: partial 16S ribosomal RNA
Rfam family: Bacterial small subunit ribosomal RNA
Source: RNAcentral